This 446-nucleotide ribosomal RNA is filed under the name uncultured bacterium. Its description in RNAcentral is "partial 16S ribosomal RNA". It matches the Rfam family "Bacterial small subunit ribosomal RNA", at positions 338 to 795 of the family's 1533-position model. The record is from RNAcentral.
CCUACGGGCGGCUGCAGUCGAGAAUCAUUCACAAUGGGGGAAACCCUGAUGGUGCGACGCCGCGUGGGGGAAUGAAGGUCUUCGGAUUGUAAACCCCUGUCAUGUGGGAGCAAAUUAAAAAGAUAGUACCACAAGAGGAAGAGACGGCUAACUCUGUGCCAGCAGCCGCGGUAAUACAGAGGUCUCAAGCGUUGUUCGGAAUCACUGGGCGUAAAGCGUGCGUAGGCUGUUUCGUAAGUCGUGUGUGAAAGGCGCGGGCUCAACCCGCGGACGGCACAUGAUACUGCGAGACUAGAGUAAGGGAGGGGGAACCGGAAGUCUCGGUGUAGCAGUGAAAUGCGUAGAUAUCGAGAGGAACACUCGUGGCGAAGGCGGGUUCCUGGACAGUAACUGACGCUGAGGCACGAAGGCCAGGGGAGCGAAAGGGAUUAGAUACCCCUGUAGUC